RNAcentral lists this ribosomal RNA (467 nucleotides) under uncultured bacterium. RNAcentral's name for it is "partial 16S ribosomal RNA". It matches the Rfam family "Bacterial small subunit ribosomal RNA", at positions 28 to 506 of the family's 1533-position model. The record is from RNAcentral.
GACGAACGCUGGCGGCGUGCUUAACACAUGUAAGUCGAACGGAAAGGCCCUGCUUUUGUGGGGUGCUCGAGUGGCGAACGGGUGAGUAACACGUGAGUAACCUGCCCUUGACUUUGGGAUAACUUCAGGAAACUGGGGCUAAUACCGGAUAGGAGCUCCUGCUGCAUGGUGGGGGUUGGAAAGUUUCGGCGGUUGGGGAUGGACUCGCGGCUUAUCAGCUUGUUGGUGGGGUAGUGGCUUACCAAGGCUUUGACGGGUAGCCGGCCUGAGAGGGUGACCGGCCACAUUGGGACUGAGAUACGGCCCAGACUCCUACGGGUGGCAGCAGUGGGGAAUAUUGCACAAUGGGCGGAAGCCUGAUGCAGCAACGCCGCGUGCGGGAUGACGGCCUUCGGGUUGUAAACCGCUUUCGCCUGUGACGAAGCGUGAGGGACGGUAAUGGGUAAAGAAGCACCGGCUAACUACGU